GAAAUCUGGCGCAAGCUCGAGUUGUAAUUUGAAGAAGGUAAUUUUUGGGGAGAUGUUGACAAAAGUUCCUUGGAACAGGACGUCAUAGAGGGUGAGAAUCCCGUUUUGUUGACCUCUCUCUCCUUGUAAAAUGCUUUCGAAGAGUCGAGUUGUUUGGGAAUGCAGCUCUAAGUGGGUGGUAAAUUCCAUCUAAAGCUAAAUAUUGGCGAGAGACCGAUAGCGAACAAGUACAGUGAUGGAAAGAUGAAAAGAACUUUGAAAAGAGAGUGAAAAAGUACGUGAAAUUGUUGAAAGGGAAGGGUUUUAAGGGAGACAUGGGAGGUAACGAACAAUCUUCCUUCGGGGAGGUGCACUCGUUGCUUUCUGGGCCAAUAUGGGUUUGAAGAGUGGGAUAAAAGGAUAGGAAUGUGGCCACUUGUUGGUGUUAUAGACUAUCCCAAUACCACUAUUUCAGACCAAGGAAUGCGAUUCUAGGAUAUUGGCGUAAUCCCUUUAAACCACCC
This 503-nucleotide ribosomal RNA is filed under the name Sugiyamaella sp. BG090809.6.11.1.1.1. RNAcentral describes it as "eukaryotic LSU rRNA". It matches the Rfam family "Eukaryotic large subunit ribosomal RNA", at positions 117 to 650 of the family's 3401-position model. The record is from RNAcentral. Lineage: Eukaryota; Fungi; Ascomycota; Dipodascomycetes; Dipodascales; Trichomonascaceae.